CCUACGGGAGGCAGCAGUGGGGAAUAUUGCACAAUGGGCGAAAGCCUGAUGCAGCGACGCCGCGUGCGGGAUGACGGCCUUCGGGUUGUAAACCGCUUUCAGCUCUGACGAAGCUUUUGUGACGGUAGGAGCAGAAGAAGCACCGGCUAACUACGUGCCAGCAGCCGCGGUAA
RNAcentral lists this ribosomal RNA (173 nucleotides) under uncultured bacterium. RNAcentral describes it as "partial 16S ribosomal RNA". It matches the Rfam family "Bacterial small subunit ribosomal RNA", at positions 338 to 523 of the family's 1533-position model. The record is from RNAcentral.